This 266-nucleotide ribosomal RNA is filed under the name uncultured bacterium. RNAcentral describes it as "partial 16S ribosomal RNA". It matches the Rfam family "Bacterial small subunit ribosomal RNA", at positions 333 to 615 of the family's 1533-position model. The record is from RNAcentral.
GCUAUCCUACGGGACGCAGCAGUGGGGAAUAUUGCACAAUGGGGGAAACCCUGAUGCAGCGACGCCGCGUGAGUGAAGAAGUAUUUCGGUAUGUAAAGCUCUAUCAGCAGGGAAGAAGAAAGACGGUACCUGACUAAGAAGCCCCGGCUAACUACGUGCCAGCAGCCGCGGUAAUACGUAGGGGGCAAGCGUUAUCCGGAUUUACUGGGUGUAAAGGGAGCGUAGACGGCUGUGCAAGUCUGAAGUGAAAGCCCAGAGCUCAAUCC